This 337-nucleotide long non-coding RNA is filed under the name Malus domestica (apple). RNAcentral describes it as "long non-coding RNA (MDOM_LNC001597)". Lineage: Eukaryota; Viridiplantae; Streptophyta; Magnoliopsida; Rosales; Rosaceae. The record is from RNAcentral.
AGGUCGCCGGAAACUGGGUAAGAUUCAAAUGAGUAUAACUUUUUCAAUAAGCAACGAAAUUGAGUGAAACAAAAAGGAAAGUUGUAGCCCUCGAAGAGACGAAGAGAAUGGUACCUCACACGACAUCUGACUCGUUGUGGUUUGGCCGGAAAUUGCCUCUAAAGCCACUGAGGUCGCCGGAAACUGGGUAAGAUUCAAAUGAGUAUAACUUUUUCAAUACUCAACGAAAUUGAGUGAAACAAAAAGGAAAGUUGUACUACUCGACGAGACGAAGAGAUUGAUACCUUGCAUGCCGGCCAAAAUUCAAUUGACACACUCCUGGCUUCCAAAAUUCAAU